This 498-nucleotide ribosomal RNA is filed under the name uncultured bacterium. Its description in RNAcentral is "partial 16S ribosomal RNA". It matches the Rfam family "Bacterial small subunit ribosomal RNA", at positions 28 to 508 of the family's 1533-position model. The record is from RNAcentral.
GAUGAACGCUGGCGGCGUGCCUAAUACAUGCAAGUCGAGCGAACGGACGAGGAGCUUGCUCCUCUGACGUUAGCGGCGGACGGGUGAGUAAUACGUGGAUAACCUACCUAUAAGACUGGGAUAACUUCGGGAAACCGGAGCUAAUACCGGAUAAUAUAUUGAACCGCAUGGUUCAAUAGUGAAAGACGGUUUUGCUGUCACUUAUAGAUGGAUCCGCGCCGCAUUAGCUAGUUGGUAAGGUAACGGCUUACCAAGGCAACGAUGCGUAGCCGACCUGAGAGGGUGAUCGGCCACACUGGAACUGAGACACGGUCCAGACUCCUACGGGAGGCAGCAGUAGGGAAUCUUCCGCAAUGGGCGAAAGCCUGACGGAGCAACGCCGCGUGAGUGAUGAAGGUCUUCGGAUCGUAAAACUCUGUUAUUAGGGAAGAACAAAUGUGUAAGUAACUAUGCACGUCUUGACGGUACCUAAUCAGAAAGCCACGGCUAACUACGUGC